This 58-nucleotide transfer RNA is filed under the name Flavonifractor plautii ATCC 29863. Its description in RNAcentral is "tRNA-Thr". It matches the Rfam family "tRNA", at positions 8 to 63 of the family's 71-position model. From Rfam's summary of the family: Transfer RNA (tRNA) molecules are approximately 80 nucleotides in length. Their secondary structure includes four short double-helical elements and three loops (D, anti-codon, and T loops). Lineage: Bacteria; Bacillati; Bacillota; Clostridia; Eubacteriales; Oscillospiraceae. The record is from RNAcentral.
UAGCUCAGUAGGUAGAGCACAUCCUUGGUAAGGAUGAGGUCUCCGGUUCAAAUCCGGA